CGGGUCGCAGCAGUGGGGAAUAUUGGACAAUGGGCGAAAGCCUGAUCCAGCAAUCCCGCGUGUGUGAAGAAGGCCUUAGGGUUGUAAAGCACUUUCAAUUGGGAGGAAAACCUGCCGGUCAAUACCCGGUAGCUUGACAUUACCUUUAGAAGAAGCACCGGCUAACUCCGUGCCAGCAGCCGCGGUAAUACGGAGGGUGCGAGCGUUAAUCGGAAUUACUGGGCGUAAAGCGUGCGUAGGUGGUUCGUUAAGUCAGAUGUGAAAGCCCUGGGCUCAACCUGGGAACUGCAUUUGAAACUGGCGGACUAGAGUUUAGUAGAGGGGAGUGGAAUUUCAGGUGUAGCGGUGAAAUGCGUAGAUAUCUGAAGGAACACCAGUGGCGAAGGCGACUCCCUGGACUAAAACUGACGCUGAGGGACGAAAGCGUGGGUAGCAAACAGGAUUAGAUACCCUUGU
This 456-nucleotide ribosomal RNA is filed under the name uncultured Crenothrix sp. RNAcentral describes it as "bacterial SSU rRNA". It matches the Rfam family "Bacterial small subunit ribosomal RNA", at positions 342 to 791 of the family's 1533-position model. Lineage: Bacteria; Pseudomonadati; Pseudomonadota; Gammaproteobacteria; Methylococcales; Crenotrichaceae. The record is from RNAcentral.